Dermochelys coriacea (leatherback sea turtle) is the source of this 753-nucleotide long non-coding RNA. RefSeq lists it as uncharacterized. The transcript has 5 exons. The record is from RefSeq and is a predicted model, not a curated record. NCBI's taxonomy places the organism in Eukaryota, Metazoa, Chordata, Testudines, Dermochelyidae.
UGUAAAGGACCUCACUUUAGUUAGUAAGGUGCGUGUAAGGAGCUGGGAGCAAGGAGUUGAGAGGAUGAGGACAUGCUGCUGGAGGAUUGAGGAGUACAAAAGCUAUCUGGCAUCAGGAAGAAGGUCCUGUGGAUGCUGCGAGGAAGAUGGAAAAACUCCCCAAGCCUCUGCCAGUUUGGCCCCUGUGAGAAGAAAAACUUCCUGACCCCAAAACAAGUGAUCGGUCUUACUGAGACUUUAACCUAAACUGAGAGUUAAGACAAACUCAAAGAAAAUUGGUUUUAUAAAGAGUGGUUCCUCCUGGUCAUGUUUGAGAUGCAUCAUGGGAUAGGGAAGAGAAGUCUGAAGUGCUGCUGUUCAUGCUGUACCUGUACUGUGAAAAAAAGGAGGACUUCACUCUCCAGCCCUCUCUUUCAGGAACCUGCCUUGUUUGCUUUUAUGAUGAGUUGACACUGAUCCAUGCUUUACUGUACAGAAGAAUACAGCCAGAAAUGAAGCCAUACCUGGAAAGUUUCUUCUUUGAUUCAAAGCAUUGGAUAACAAUAUAGUUUCCAUAUGUUAAUAUUAGCUUCACCAACUAUCUUUUACUUCUGUGUCUCACUGUUACAUUUAGUUAGAAGAUAGCAUCACAAUGCUAAACAAAGAAUAGAUUGGCAGUGUUUGGUAAGAAGCUGAGCUGUAUAUGUGAAAUUCAAGGGGUGGGAGGUAUGGAGAAAAGGAAUAUAAUGUUGUGCUGUUAAAAAUAAACCACGU